GUUCUCUUCAUUAAGCAACUAAUAUGAUAUGAAGAAAAUAAAAAGAAUAAUUAAAAACUGCAUGUUGUCGUGGAUAAAUGUGUCUUUUAAUAAACGUAAUAUAGUGUAGAUAAAGAAAUGUGGAAAUUAUUUGGUGCAUUGGCGGUUUUAUUCAUUAUAAUUAGCAAUGGGUUUUCAUGGCCCAGUGGCCUUGAAUCAAGUGUGAGAGUAAAGAGACUGGUCAGACCAGGUGUAAUGGAUAAUUGUCCAUUUGGAGAAAAACAUUCUGGUGGAUGUAUUGAAGAGCCAUUGUAUAUUAAAACCAGCAGCAUGAAAGAGAAAGGAACGAAACAGAUUAAAGCCUAUUCAAGUAUUAAAACUACAGUUAAUCAGACUGAAGAAUUACCAUGGUAUUCAAAGUGGAUAAAUGGCUAAAACUUAGUAAAACCCGUGAAUAUUUAAUGAUGAUGAGUCAGAAAUUAGAAUAUGUAAUUUGAAAUAAAUAAUUUGAACUUUUGUUUAACUUUAGUUUUUUCUUUAAUUUUUCAUUAAUUAAAUUAAACACUUUUGCUUAUUACAAAAUAAUAAAUAUGUAUUUCCACACAAAA
Molecule: long non-coding RNA, 587 nt
Organism: Calliphora vicina (urban bluebottle blowfly)
Lineage: Eukaryota; Metazoa; Arthropoda; Insecta; Diptera; Calliphoridae
Exons: 2
Source: RefSeq, a predicted model, not a curated record